This 301-nucleotide ribosomal RNA is filed under the name uncultured bacterium. RNAcentral describes it as "partial 16S ribosomal RNA". It matches the Rfam family "Bacterial small subunit ribosomal RNA", at positions 509 to 807 of the family's 1533-position model. The record is from RNAcentral.
CAGCCGCCGCGGUAAUACGUAGGGGGCAAGCGUUGUCCGGAAUCAUUGGGCGUAAAGAGCGUGUAGGCGGCUCGGUAAGUCCGCUGUGAAAGUCCAGGGCUCAACCCUGGAAUGCCGGUGGAAACUGUCGAGCUAGAGUCCGGAAGAGGCGAGUGGAACUCCUGGUGUAGCGGUGAAAUGCGCAGAUAUCAGGAAGAACACCAAUGGCGAAGGCAGCUCGCUGGGACGGUACUGACGCUGAGACGCGAAAGCGUGGGGAGCAAACAGGAUUAGAUACCCCCGUAGUCCCUGUCUCUUAUAC